GCAGUCGAGCGGUAGCACAGAGGAGCUUGCUCCUUGGGUGACGAGCGGCGGACGGGUGAGUAAUGUCUGGGAAACUGCCUGAUGGAGGGGGAUAACUACUGGAAACGGUAGCUAAUACCGCAUAACCUCGCAAGAGCAAAGAGGGGGACCUUAGGGCCUCUCGCCAUCAGAUGUGCCCAGAUGGGAUUAGCUAGUAGGUGAGGUAAUGGCUCACCUAGGCGACGAUCCCUAGCUGGUCUGAGAGGAUGACCAGCCACACUGGAACUGAGACACGGUCCAGACUCCUACGGGAGGCAGCAGUGGGGAAUAUUGCACAAUGGGCGCAAGCCUGAUGCAGCCAUGCCGCGUGUGUGAAGAAGGCCUUCGGGUUGUAAAGCACUUUCAGCGAGGAGGAAGGCGGUAAGGUUAAUAACCUUAUCGAUUGACGUUACUCGCAGAAGAAGCACCGGCUAACUCCGUGCCAGCAGCCGCGGUAAUACGGAGGGUGCAAGCGUUAAUCGGAAUGACUGGGCGUAAAGCGCACGCAGGCGGUCUGUUAAGUUGGAUGUGAAAUCCCCGGGCUUAACCUGGGAACUGCAUUCAAAACUGACAGGCUAGAGUCUUGUAGAGGGGGGUAGAAUUCCAGGUGUAGCGGUGAAAUGCGUAGAGAU
This 650-nucleotide ribosomal RNA is filed under the name Pectobacterium carotovorum subsp. carotovorum. RNAcentral's name for it is "bacterial SSU rRNA". It matches the Rfam family "Bacterial small subunit ribosomal RNA", at positions 57 to 697 of the family's 1533-position model. Lineage: Bacteria; Pseudomonadati; Pseudomonadota; Gammaproteobacteria; Enterobacterales; Pectobacteriaceae. The record is from RNAcentral.